UCCGAGUUGACCCCGGCAGUCUCCUAUGAGUCCCCGCCAUGACGCGAUGGCAACUAAGGACAGGGGUUGCGCUCGUUGCGGCACUUAAGCCAACACCUCACGGCACGAGCUGACGACAACCAUGCACCACCUGUAAACCGACCGCAAGCGGGGCACCUGUUUCCAGGCGUUUCCGGUUCAUGUCAAGCCUUGGUAAGGUUCUUCGCGUUGCAUCGAAUUAAUCCGCAUGCUCCGCCGCUUGUGCGGGCCCCCGUCAAUUCCUUUGAGUUUUAGCCUUGCGGCCGUACUCCCCAGGCGGAACACUUAUCGCGUUGGCUGCGGCACAGACAGAUUCGACUCCGCCCACACCUAGUGUUCAUCGUUUACGGCGUGGACUAC
This 378-nucleotide unclassified non-coding RNA is filed under the name uncultured Actinomycetes bacterium. RNAcentral describes it as "uncultured actinobacterium contains 16S-23S intergenic spacer region". The record is from RNAcentral. Lineage: Bacteria; Bacillati; Actinomycetota; Actinomycetes.